Paramuricea clavata is the source of this 292-nucleotide non-coding RNA. Lineage: Eukaryota; Metazoa; Cnidaria; Anthozoa; Malacalcyonacea; Plexauridae. The record is from the annotation of a GenBank genome assembly.
AAAUCAAACACACAGUAUUUUGAAAGGGCUUUAUCAAAAUCUUUGACGAAGUUUGGACACACGACGCUUAAAGAACAGCAAAAGUCGUGCAUUCGAAAGCUUGUUGUUGACAGCCAAGGCCCAAGAUGUCUUUGCCGUUCUGCCAACUCUGGCUUCGGUGAAAGUCUUAUUUAUCAGGUCUUACCAGCGUUGUUUUCUGAGCCAUAUCGCCUUCGUCAUGGUACGAUAAAGAAUUUCGUUAUUGCUGUUGUUAUCCCGUUAGAAAUUGUAUAUCCGCGUCCAGCAAGUUGAG